UCCAGGCAGACCAGCUCUGUGCUUUCUUU
RNAcentral lists this non-coding RNA (29 nucleotides) under Rattus norvegicus (Norway rat). Lineage: Eukaryota; Metazoa; Chordata; Mammalia; Rodentia; Muridae. The record is from RNAcentral.